Bubalus bubalis (water buffalo) is the source of this 5867-nucleotide long non-coding RNA. RefSeq lists it as uncharacterized. The record is from RefSeq and is a predicted model, not a curated record. NCBI's taxonomy places the organism in Eukaryota, Metazoa, Chordata, Mammalia, Artiodactyla, Bovidae. The transcript has 2 exons.
UAAAUGAGAAGGAUAUCCAAAAAAGAGGAGAUAUAUGUAUACCUGUGUCUGAUGCACUUUGCUGUAUGGCAGAAACAGCAUGGUAAAGCAACUAUACUCCAAAAAAUUUUAAAAAUAAAAUUGAAGUGGAAAGUGAAGGAGGGGCCUAUAUAAGUGUAUUUACUUGUGUACGCAGGCAGUGUCUCUUGGAAAAUACCCCCAAAUUUUAAAAAACAGUAACAGUGGUUACCUUCCGAGAGAACGUAUGGGUAGCUGAGGGUCUGGGUAUAGGAAUGAAAACAAGGAGAAGCCCUUCAAAUCUUCAGGCUGUGGGUGUGUCGGUAAGAUUAGGGGGUUAGACUCACUUAGAAGGGAGCAUGAAUCUAAAUGGCACAGGCUUCUUCAACGUAACAGUGGGUUUUAGGACAUGAUACCUUCAAAUACCUGAGGGAGAAAUUUUUUGUGUCCUAGAAGUUUUUAACCAACCAUCAAUCAUGUGCACAGGUAAGGACUCAAGAAGAAUGUCUGCCAUGCACCUCUCUUUGGGGAAUUGCUGGAUAAUGCACUUCAGAAAAACAAGGGAAAGAAAGCCCAUGGUUGAAAUAGCAAAUCCCACACAGAGAAAUUUCAAAAGUGAGUUCUAAGGGAAUUCCCUGGAGAUCCAGCGGUUAGGACUCUGCUCUCUCACUGCCAAGAGCUCUGGGUUCGAUCCCUGGUCUAGGAACUAAGAUCCCACAAGCAGUGCUGUGGGCCCCCCGCCACACACACACAAAAAUGAGUUCUAAGACAAAAGUGUCCCCACACCCUGUAGAUUGGAGCAAGAGGAAAUGAAGGCUUCAGAGAGAGGGGGGGGGCGGGUGGUAUGGAAAAUGAAAUGUUACCUGGGAUGCUUGGGGCUUUGGGGAAAAAAGAACUGCUGGCAAUCAGACGACAGGUCUAGCUGAGCAACUGAAGCCACAAUCAGUUAUUAGAAAACUAUACUGGGGGUGGGGGUGGGGCGGAAAUGAGACAAUUAUUGAUUCCAGAAAACAAAAGUGAUGCUAGGAAGGAAAUAAGUACCAAACACUAUCUGACUCUUCAAUUUUACAUAGGCAAUAAUGUAAACAUUGAUUAAAAUUGCCUUAUACGAUAAUGGAAGGGAGGAAAUGGGAGGUUGAGACUGCUAAAUCAUCACCUGUGAUAAUAGAAUGUUAAUCCUAUUAUCCACUUCUUCCUUUCAGUGAGACUGACAUCUAUUCUAAUGGCAUAUGAUGCAGCCCAUGCUUUUACAAUUUUCCCAAGGGUUGAAGAAAAUUUUUCACUGAAAGAAGCUCUCUGCUUUUAUACCACAGAAUUAUUCCCAGCCUACUUUGUGGAAGUAGAUUAAUCCUGCUGCUUUCUCCUGCUUCAGUUUUCAAAAAUGGUGAACAUAUCAAUCACAAAUGGCAUAUCUCAAGAUUUUAUAUGUAAACCCAAAACUUUAAGGAAUAUUUUUAACCAUCCAUUCUCUUAGUGCAAAAAUAUGGUCUUGAACCACUUUCAUCACUAUCAACUGGGGUACUACAGGAGGACAAAGAGGCAACAGAGGAUGAGAUGGUUGGAUGGCAUCAUUGACUCAAUGGACAUGAGUUUGAGCAAACUCCAGGAGAUAGUGAAGCGCAGGGAAGCCUGGUGUGCUGCAGUCCAUGGGGUCGCAAAGAGUUAGACACAACUUAGGGACUGAACAACAACAACUUUUUACAAAUAAGCAAAUUUCUGGUCCCUAACCAGAUUUAUUGAAUCAGAAUUCCUGAAAAGGACCAAGGAAUAUAAUUUUUCCCAUUGACCCAUAUGGUUCUUUACUCACAUGAGCAGAAUUUAGUUUUAUGUCUUGGGGUUUUAUUUCUCAAAGUCAGUGUAAGAUCCACACAUAUAAAAUCUCUGCCUGUUUUUUUUUUUUUUAUGCUAUUGAGGACAUUGUGUAUUUUAUUAUUCAGUGUUCUUCAGUGUUCACAGAAUGAAAUCUCUUUCAGAUUUUAGAGCUAAAGAAAAAGUUUUUCUCAUAUGAACUGGUCUGUUUCCUUUAUUAGUCUGUCUAUGUGUGCUUAGUCGCUCAGUUGUGUCCAACUUUUUGGGACCCAUGGACCAUAGCCUGCCAGACUCCUCUUUCCAUGGAAUUCUCCAGGCAAGAAUACUGGAGUGGGUAGCCAUUCCCUUCUCUGGGGGAUCUUCCUGACCCAGGGACAGAACCCAGGUCUCCUGCAUAGCUGGCAGAUUCUUUACCAUCUGAGCCACCAGGGAAGCCCUUUAUUAGUCUAAGACUUGUCAAAUUUGACUGAUUAUUAGAAUCACCUAGGGAACUUUGGGCUUCCCUGGUAGCUCAGACAGUAAAGCAUCUGCCUGCAAUGCUGGAGACCUGGGUUCGAUCCCUGGAUUGGGAAGAUCCCCUGGAGAAGGAAAUGGCAAUCCACUCCAGUACCUUGCCUGGAAAAUUCCAUGGAUGGAGGAGCCUGGUAGGCUCCAUGUGAUCGCAGAGUCGGACACGACUAAGCAACCUCACUGGUUGCAAGAAAGUGAGACUAAAUGAGAGGGAACUUUGAAAACAUACAUAGCUUCCCAGACCCACCAGUCUCCAGAUUUGGGAGGAUCCAUAGGAUAUUAAUAAUUAUCCAUGCUUCAUACACUCUGCAUGGGACAAAUAUCUUACUUAAUUCACCAUAUUCACACUUUGCCUUCUUGGAAGCUAGUUUUAAAGCAGUUUUUCUUGGAAUUCGGUUUUUUAAUAUAAUCAUUGUCCUUUUCUUCCCCUGUUUUAUUAAUUGUCUCAUUUAGUAUUUUUUCAUGAAUUUCAACUUCAGAGGAAAUAUUUUAUAAUAAUUCUAUUCCUUGGACCAGCACAUUCCCUGCAAUAGCAUUUAAGCCUAAAAUAAAUCACUUGUUAGGAUGAAGGACUAAGAGAUUGUUGUGAGUUCUUAAAAGUUUCAUCAUCCAGAGUGGAGACUUCAGGGAAAUUACUGUUAGAAAAGUACUCUGAAAACCAUUGUGAUUAAAUGCUGAUAUAUAAUUAAGAUCCUGAUUGCCCCGCUUCGGCCUCUUCACUACAGGCACUCCCAAGACUCAGUUUGUUGUUCCUCUUUCUUUUCUUCACCACUUCAAAGCGCUAAUCCAUUUAGUCGUGUUAACCAUCACCACCAAAUAUAUGCUAGAGCUUGAAUCUUUUGCUAUCAGCAGGAACUGUUCAUGCGGCUGUCUGACCAAGUCCAGACUUCAGUGUGAAGAAAUUCCAUCUGUCUAAUACUGGAACUCUUCUGCUUACUCCACAAUCUCAUAUUCCUGAUCACCUCCCCUUCCCAAAUCACCAUCUGGGUUAAAUAGCAUCACCACUCUCUCAUGUCCUCAGCCGAAUUUGUCCCUGAUUGCUCAUAUUUCUUUUAAUCCCUACACCACUUAGCAAGGGAAUAUUUACAUUAUCGUUUGAGGAUGUAGCUACCAUCUGAAGACCAAAGAAAAUGCUGGUGGGUGUGAGAGAUGCCCCAGAGUGAUAAACCGCCUAGGAAAUGAAAGGGGCUUGCUUCACAGGUGUGAAUACAGCCUGUCAUUUCUCUUACUUGGUCUCAGGGAUGUACCCCUAUCUCUUUCCUUCCCUGGCCUAGUGCUCAUUUCCUGAGUUAAAGCAAACUGCUACUGAUUGAUUUCCCUGAACGUGGCCUAUUCCUGUUUCCAUUCUUCAUGGUAGCGGUGGUGAUUGUAAUGGUUUAGGAAUAUUAUUUGUCCAAUCAGUUCCUCAUCUAUAAAGAUUGACAGUGGUACCUAACGGCACAACAAGGAGUUGUGAGUAUUAAAUGUUCAUUGUGUUUAGCGCAGUGCUUGGCACCCCAUAAAUGUUAGUUGCUAUUUAUUUUGUUAACAGAACACACUCACAUAUUCCCUAAUGAUUUCACUUGGGCUCACACCAAUUAAGCUCCACAAAGCACUGUAUUUGCUCUUUAGUAAAAUCUUACCAUAACUUUACAAGAUAAAAUGCACAUUCUUCAUCUUGGGAAUUAAAAUGUAGUAGUUGUAAAGUCUUAUGUUAUUUUACUGAGCAGAAGCUUCCUUAUUUGAAAUAGGGAAAACAUUAUGUUCCUGGUUGAUAUGAAGAUUAAAAUUAAUAAUGUAUAUCAACAGUGCUUGGGGGACUGCAAAGAAUUAUACACAUUUUAAUUGUUUUCACUUGUGCUGGAAGCUUUGCCUUUGAGCACAAGGGCUGAUGCAAACAGGGAAAUGGCUCCAAAGCAUCUUUGGCCACCACCCCAAGACCUUGGCUCUACUGGGCACCGAGCCAUAGACCAUUUUUCUGAUGGCUACAAGACAUCAUGUCAGCUCCACCAGUCAUGAAUUCCCUGAGGCAUAAGACCUUCUAAUUUUAGAAACAGUUGAGCAAAGCUUUUGGCACAGAACAAUGCACUCAUUAUCUCACACUCCUCAGGUGAACAUGAAUGACUGAGUGGCCUUCCUGUCAGAGGAGUUACCUGGCAGAACCAGUUUCUUCAGUGGAUUAUCACUGGAUCAUCACUUUCUGAAAGUUCAAGGUCAUCCUGGUAAGUAAAACUCCUGGACUGUUUAUAUUGAAGUAAGAAUGGAUCUGUCAGACAAACAGGUUGCCAGCACUGGGACUUUGGGCAAAUUACUUAACCUCUCUGAGCCUCAGUUUCCCCAUUUAAAAAUUUUAACAACUAUUUCAUAGGGUUUCUAUGAAAACUAAAUGAUGUAACCUGGAGCAUAGUAGUCAUGCAACAAAUAUUAGUUUCUCAUUUUCCAUCCUUCUGUCCCCUAGGAGAUGGCAAAACCCAACAGUUACAUUUUAGUUCUUCCUUUUAUUAGACAUAUGCUUGUUGUACUUACUUUCACAUCAUCUCAGAACUGUUUUUUUUUCCCCCUUUUUAAUAUGUGUCUUGUACAACCAACUAGAAAUAACUCUUUGGAGGGCAAAGAUCAUCCUUCCGUUUCUUCUAUAUUCCUCAUAAUUACAGCAACCCCAUGCCACAGUUUUUCCUGGACAGACUCAAACAAUUUUCUCUUUAUUCUUUUUUAAAUUAUUAAAAAUAUCCUGGGGUCCAAGUGACACUUGCCAAAACAUCACUUACCCAGAACAUAACACCUGUACACAUAGGAGCCAGCACCAUGCUGGAACCAUGACGGCUGCCAGAGGUGGACACGCCUGAGCAGUCAGUCUGCUUAAGAGAGGUCUCUAGAGCCCUAAGGGCCUCACAAGACCACUUUCCCCGCCACCAUGUCCCACCUUCAGAGGAUUUCAGGGCAGUCCCCCCUCCCCCCAGUAAGCCUCUGAAGCAGCCAACCCUAAAAAGGAAGCUAAAAUUAGAGCUGAUUCCCCAUUCUCCCCUAAAUGGCCACCUGGGUAAUCGCCCAUGCAGCAGGAUGCUCUCCACCUGAGUCCCCUUGAGGCAAGUCUCCAGCAUCAACCACCACCAGCACAUCCUCCCCCACGUGGCUUUUCCUCCCCUUAUUUGACUUAUGCUAACCUCCCCACUCUUCACCCUUCCACUGCAUCCCCUGGCACCCCAACUGUGCCAGAUCCUUUACAACUCCCCACCCUCUUUUGCAUAUUUUCUUCACCCUCUUGCAUGGAAACCUGGUGCAGCUUAACUGGAAACAAACCUGCUCUCCCUCCCACACCUUGCCCGCCACAGAGCCGAGGGGAGGAGUGGGUGUUCCCGUGGCCCUCGCUACUGCUCACAGACAGCUCUCUGUCAUCUCAAAACCCCCACCUCUCUGGAAGCCCAUGCCCUCCAACUAUACCACCCACUGUCCUCCACCCCACCACCAUCACCCACUCACCAAGCUCCCAACUCCUCUUCAUCCUCUUCAUUCAUGCCAGACGUCAGCACCUGGCUCCUUCACUGGCUCCCUUCUGUUCUGCUCCUCAACUC